Molecule: ribosomal RNA, 373 nt
Filed under: uncultured organism
Description: partial 16S ribosomal RNA
Rfam family: Bacterial small subunit ribosomal RNA
Source: RNAcentral
GUAGGUGGCAAGCGUUGUCCGGAAUUAUUGGGGCGUAAAGCGCGCGCAGGCGGUUCUUUAAGUCUGAUGUGAAAGCCCACGGGCUCAACCGUGGAGGGUCAUUGGAAACUGGAGAACUUGAGUACAGAAGAGGAGAGCGGAAUUCCACGUGUAGCGGUGAAAUGCGUAGAGAUGUGGAGGAACACCAGUGGCGAAGGCGGCUUUCUGGUCUGUAACUGACGCUGAGGCGCGAAAGCGUGGGGAGCAAACAGGAUUAGAUACCCUGGUAGUCCACGCCGUAAACGAUGAGUGCUAAGUGUUAGGGGGUUUCCGCCCCUUAGUGCUGCAGCUAACGCAUUAAGCACUCCGCCUGGGGAGUACGGCCGCAAGGCUG